CCCUUAGAUGUUCUGGGCUGCACGCGCGCUACACUGAAGCUACCAACACGUUUUCCCUCCCUGAGAAGGGCGGGUAACCUUUUGAAUCAGCUUCGUGGUAGGGAUCGGGGCUUGCAAUUGUUCCCCGUGAACCAGGAAUUCCUAGUAGACGCGAGUCAUAAGCUCGCAUCGAUUAAGUCCCUGCCCUUUGUCCACACCGCCCGUCGCUACUACCGAUUGAACGUUUUAGUGAGGCAUUUGGACCGACGCAUCUCAGUUUAACCGCUGGUUUGUGUUGGAAAGACUUCCAAACUUGAGCGUUUAGAGGAAGUAAAAGUCGUAACA
This 324-nucleotide ribosomal RNA is filed under the name uncultured eukaryote. Its description in RNAcentral is "partial 18S ribosomal RNA". It matches the Rfam family "Eukaryotic small subunit ribosomal RNA", at positions 1470 to 1796 of the family's 1831-position model. The record is from RNAcentral.